This 619-nucleotide ribosomal RNA is filed under the name Agromyces sp. m7-6. RNAcentral's name for it is "bacterial SSU rRNA". It matches the Rfam family "Bacterial small subunit ribosomal RNA", at positions 829 to 1447 of the family's 1533-position model. The record is from RNAcentral. Lineage: Bacteria; Bacillati; Actinomycetota; Actinomycetes; Micrococcales; Microbacteriaceae.
CCUUUCCACGGUUUCCGUGUCGUAGCUAACGCAUUAAGCGCCCCGCCUGGGGAGUACGGCCGCAAGGCUAAAACUCAAAGGAAUUGACGGGGGCCCGCACAAGCGGCGGAGCAUGCGGAUUAAUUCGAUGCAACGCGAAGAACCUUACCAAGGCUUGACAUAUACGAGAACGGGCCAGAAAUGGUCAACUCUUUGGACACUCGUAUACAGGUGGUGCAUGGUUGUCGUCAGCUCGUGUCGUGAGAUGUUGGGUUAAGUCCCGCAACGAGCGCAACCCUCGUCGCAUGUUGCCAGCACGUUAUGGUGGGGACUCAUGUGAGACUGCCGGGGUCAACUCGGAGGAAGGUGGGGAUGACGUCAAAUCAUCAUGCCCCUUAUGUCUUGGGCUUCACGCAUGCUACAAUGGCCGGUACAAAGGGCUGCGAUGUCGUAAGGCGGAGCGAAUCCCAAAAAGCCGGUCUCAGUUCGGAUUGAGGUCUGCAACUCGACCUCAUGAAGUCGGAGUCGCUAGUAAUCGCAGAUCAGCAACGCUGCGGUGAAUACGUUCCCGGGCCUUGUACACACCGCCCGUCAAGUCAUGAAAGUCGGUAACACCCGAAGCCGGUGGCCUAACCCUGGU